This 498-nucleotide ribosomal RNA is filed under the name uncultured bacterium. Its description in RNAcentral is "partial 16S ribosomal RNA". It matches the Rfam family "Bacterial small subunit ribosomal RNA", at positions 28 to 507 of the family's 1533-position model. The record is from RNAcentral.
GACGAACGCUGGCGGCGUGCCUAAUACAUGCAAGUCGAACGAGAGCGCCCGGUGCUUGCACUGGUCAAUCUAGUGGCGAGCGGGUGAGUAACACGUGGGUAACCUGCCCAUCAGAGGGGGAUAACAUCCGGAAACGGAUGCUAAAACCGCAUAGGUCUUCGAACCGCAUGGUUUGAAGAGGAAAAGAGGCGCAAGCUUCUGCUGAUGGAUGGACCCGCGGUGCAUUAGCUAGUUGGUGAGGUAACGGCUCACCAAGGCCGUGAUGCAUAGCCGACCUGAGAGGGUGAUCGGCCACAUUGGGACUGAGACACGGCCCAAACUCCUACGGGAGGCAGCAGUAGGGAAUCUUCCGCAAUGGACGCAAGUCUGACGGAGCAACGCCGCGUGAGUGAAGAAGGUUUUCGGAUCGUAAAACUCUGUUGUUAGAGAAGAACAAGUGCUAGAGUAACUGUUAGCGCCUUGACGGUAUCUAAACAGAAAGCCACGGCUAACUACGUG